This 82-nucleotide transfer RNA is filed under the name Candidatus Goldiibacteriota bacterium HGW-Goldbacteria-1. Its description in RNAcentral is "Candidatus Goldbacteria bacterium HGW-Goldbacteria-1 tRNA-Leu". It matches the Rfam family "tRNA". Rfam says of the family: Transfer RNA (tRNA) molecules are approximately 80 nucleotides in length. Their secondary structure includes four short double-helical elements and three loops (D, anti-codon, and T loops). The record is from RNAcentral. Lineage: Bacteria; Candidatus Goldiibacteriota. RNAcentral also lists the same sequence under 1 other name.
GCGAGGAUGGCGGAAUUGGCAGACGCGCCAGACUUAGGAUCUGGUCCAUUGGGUGUGGGUUCAAGUCCCUCUCCUCGCACCA